This 320-nucleotide unclassified non-coding RNA is filed under the name plant metagenome. RNAcentral's name for it is "partial contains 5.8S ribosomal RNA, internal transcribed spacer 2, and large subunit ribosomal RNA". The stretch from base 1 to 105 matches the Rfam family "5.8S ribosomal RNA", at positions 50 to 154 of the family's 154-position model. The record is from RNAcentral.
GAAAUGCGAUAAGUAGUGUGAAUUGCAGAAUUCAGUGAAUCAUCGAAUCUUUGAACGCAUAUUGCGCCCGCCAGUAUUCUGGCGGGCAUGCCUGUUCGAGCGUCAUUACAACCCUCAGGCCCCCGGGCCUGGCGUUGGGGAUCGGCGGAAGCCCCCUGCGGGCACAACGCCGUCCCCCAAAUACAGUGGCGGUCCCGCCGCAGCUUCCAUUGCGUAGUAGCUAACACCUCGCAACUGGAGAGCGGCGCGGCCACGCCGUAAAACACCCAACUUCUGAAUGUUGACCUCGAAUCAGGUAGGAAUACCCGCUGAACUUAAGC